UUUUUGUAUGGCACCGCCAUGACCCUCUUUUGGGCUUGAUCGGCUUUUAAGCCUUGUGUAGGUUCAUAUGCGGUUCAAUGUAGUGCGAGGGUGUAGUUAAUUUUAGAGUAUUGUCAUGGCCAAUUUCCUAGUCAUUCACAUUAUGCUAAAGAAAGGAAGUGAGGUCUCCCUGAAACUUCAGUUUAGUUGGAGUUCAUAUGAGCGGAUUUGAAUACGGAGCACUUGGGAUUGUUUCAAUCAUA
RNAcentral lists this long non-coding RNA (242 nucleotides) under Vitis vinifera (wine grape). RNAcentral's name for it is "long non-coding RNA (VVIN_LNC000490)". Lineage: Eukaryota; Viridiplantae; Streptophyta; Magnoliopsida; Vitales; Vitaceae. The record is from RNAcentral.